This 66-nucleotide small RNA is filed under the name Marmota monax (woodchuck). It matches the Rfam family "MAT2A 3'UTR stem loop B". Lineage: Eukaryota; Metazoa; Chordata; Mammalia; Rodentia; Sciuridae. The record is from RNAcentral.
AGAGACACUUGGGCACCUUUGUGAUGUCAUACAGAGAAGUCACAGGGCAGUACGUGAGGGGUCUAU